Long non-coding RNA from Oreochromis aureus, 285 nucleotides. RefSeq lists it as uncharacterized. The transcript is spliced from 3 exons. The record is from RefSeq and is a predicted model, not a curated record. NCBI's taxonomy places the organism in Eukaryota, Metazoa, Chordata, Actinopteri, Cichliformes, Cichlidae.
CACGCACAGGCAGCGUUGUGUACUGUUGCGAGCUGCGUCGCCUUGUAGAGUCAAAGCGUCUGAUCGAGGAGCGACAACAGAGCAAGUCCAUGAAUGGAAACGUCAGAACGCUAAGUUCUACAAGACAGCGUGAUUACAGCAAGGCGACUGGAAGAGAAAAUGCAUGGAGGCACCGAUACGAAAUGAAACCCGACAGACGGUGACUACAGCACCAAUUCAUGCUCGAAAGCGAAGCUGCCCCCUCAGACCUGUCCCUGCUCCCAAACAACUGGAAUGUGUGGCAGG